Molecule: ribosomal RNA, 839 nt
Filed under: uncultured bacterium
Lineage: Bacteria
Description: bacterial SSU rRNA
Rfam family: Bacterial small subunit ribosomal RNA
Source: RNAcentral
UGCAAGUCGAACGAGAAACUCUUCGGAGUGGAAAGUGGCGAAAGGGUGAGUAACGCGUGAGUAACUUGCCUCCAAAUCGAGGAUAACAGUUGGAAACGACUGCUAAUACUGGAUGUGAUAAAAGGACCGCAUGUUUCUUUUAUUAAAGAUCCGUUGUUUGGAGAUAGGCUCGCGUCCCAUUAGUUUGUUGGUAAGGUAACGGCUUACCAAGACUUUGACGGGUAGGUGGUCUGAGAGGAUGGUCACCCACACUGGGACUGAGACACUGCCCAGACUCCUGCGGGAGGCUGCAGUCGAGAAUCUUCCGCAAUGCGCGCAAGCGUGACGGAGCAAUGCCGCGUGAAUGAUGAAGGCCUUCGGGUCGUAAAGUUCUGUCAGGGGUGAAGAACAUUGACAUUAACCCCAGAGGAAGCCACGGCUAACUACGUGCCAGCAGCCGCGGUAAUACGUAGGUGGCGAGCGUUAUUCGGAUUUACUGGGCGUAAAGGAUCCGUAGGGGGUCCAUUAAGUCUGAUGUGAAAUUUCGGGGCUCAACCCCGAAGCUGCAUUGGAAACUGAUGGACUCGAGUCCGUAAGAGGUAAGUGGAAUUCUUGGUGUAGCGGUGGAAUGCGUAGAUAUCAAGAGGAACAUCGAAGGCGAAAGCAGCUUACUGGUACGGUACUGACCCUGAUGGAUGAGAGCUAGGGUAGCGAAAAGGAUUAGAUACCCUUGUAGUCCUAGCUGUAAACGUUGUACACUCGAUGUUGGAAGGUUCAGCCCUUUCAGUGUCUAAGCUAGCGCGAUAAGUGUACCGCCUGGGGAGUACGGCCGCAAGGCUAAAACUCAAAGGAAUUGACGG